RNAcentral lists this ribosomal RNA (113 nucleotides) under Caerostris extrusa. The record is from RNAcentral. Lineage: Eukaryota; Metazoa; Arthropoda; Arachnida; Araneae; Araneidae.
AACGGCCAUACCAUGCUGAAUAUACCGGUUCUCGUUAGAUCACCGAAGUUCAAGCAUCAUUGGGCGCGGUCAGUACUUGGGUGGGUGACCACCUGGGAACACCACGUGCCGUU